Molecule: ribosomal RNA, 833 nt
Filed under: uncultured Psychrobacter sp.
Lineage: Bacteria; Pseudomonadati; Pseudomonadota; Gammaproteobacteria; Moraxellales; Moraxellaceae
Description: bacterial SSU rRNA
Rfam family: Bacterial small subunit ribosomal RNA
Source: RNAcentral
CGGAAUUACUCGGCGUAAAGCGAGCGUAGGUGGCUUGAUAAGUCAGAUGUGAAAUCCCCGGGCUUAACCUGGGAACUGCAUCUGAUACUGUAGGCUAGAAUAGGUGAGAGGAAGGUAGAAUUCCCAGGUGUAGCGGUGAAAUGCGUAGAGAUCUGGAGGAAUACCGAUGGCGAAGGCAGCCUUCUGGCAUCAUAUUGACACUGAGGUUCGAAAGCGUGGGUAGCAAACAGGAUUAGAUACCCUGGUAGUCCACGCCGUAAACGAUGUCUACUAGUCGUUGGGUCCCUUGAGGACUUAGUGACGCAGCUAACGCAAUAAGUAGACCGCCUGGGGAGUACGGCCGCAAGGUUAAAACUCAAAUGAAUUGACGGGGGCCCGCACAAGCGGUGGAGCAUGUGGUUUAAUUCGAUGCAACGCGAAGAACCUUACCUGGUCUUGACAUAUCUAGAAUCCUGCAGAGAUGCGGGAGUGCCUUCGGGAAUUAGAAUACAGGUGCUGCAUGGCUGUCGUCAGCUCGUGUCGUGAGAUGUUGGGUUAAGUCCCGCAACGAGCGCAACCCUUGUCCUUAGUUACCAGCGGGUUAAGCCGGGAACUCUAAGGAUACUGCCAGUGACAAACUGGAGGAAGGCGGGGACGACGUCAAGUCAUCAUGGCCCUUACGACCAGGGCUACACACGUGCUACAAUGGUAGGUACAGAGGGCAGCUACACAGCGAUGUGAUGCGAAUCUCAAAAAGCCUAUCGUAGUCCAGAUUGGAGUCGGCAACUCGACUCCCAUGAAGUACGAAUCGCUNGNAAUGCGNGGAUCAGAAUCGCCCACUNUNCAANNUCCAR